CACCGCGGUUAUACGAGAGGCUCAAGCUGACGGACCCUCGGCGUAAAGUGUGGUUAGAAUUCUGUUUUUAAACUAAGGCCGAAUGCCCUCAAAACUGUUAUACGUAAUUGAAUGCUAGAAGCCCCCUUACGAAAGUAGCCUUAUUUUAUUGAACCCACGAAAGCUAAGACA
RNAcentral lists this ribosomal RNA (171 nucleotides) under Salarias luctuosus. RNAcentral's name for it is "partial 12S rRNA". Lineage: Eukaryota; Metazoa; Chordata; Actinopteri; Blenniiformes; Blenniidae. The record is from RNAcentral.